CAAACCUUGAGCCAUUUAGAAGAGGAAGAAGCCAAAAUCUGUGCCAGAGGUUUGACUGCUGGGUUUACUCAUGGCUUCAGGUCAGGAUGGGCACUGCUAGAUAAUGAAGGCAAGAUCGGUUUCGUGGGGCUUGCUCUAUUGGG
Long non-coding RNA from Manacus vitellinus (golden-collared manakin), 143 nucleotides. RefSeq lists it as uncharacterized. Lineage: Eukaryota; Metazoa; Chordata; Aves; Passeriformes; Pipridae. The record is from RefSeq and is a predicted model, not a curated record. The transcript has 3 exons.